AAAUGACUGCAACAGCCAGGUCUAGACCAGGCCCAAGGCAGGAGCCAAGAGCUUCAUUCAGGUCCCCCAUGUGGGUACAGGGGCCAAGCACCUUGCGCCAUCUUCUGCUGCUUUCCCAGGCCCCUUAGCAGGGAGCUGGAUCAGAAGUGGGGCAGCUGGGACUCGAACCCGCACUUAUAUGGGAUGCCAGCAUUGCAGGAGGUAACUGAACUUGCUGUGCCACAGCACUGGGCCCAGGUGAGGAAAUCAGAGAAUAGAGUUGGCAUUGUGGUGCAGCGAACGUAUCCGCUUCUUGGGGCACCCAUAUCCCAUAUCAGUGCUGGUUUGACUCCCUGCUCCUCUGUUUCCUAUCCAGCUUCCUGUAAUGCAUCCUGGGAGGGAACAGAUGACGGCCCAAGUGCACGGCCCCCUGCCACGCAUGUGGGAGACCUGGAUGGAGUUCCUGGCUCCUGACGUCGGCCUGGCUGUCGGGAGCAUUUGGGCCUGCUUCACAGAGCCCCUCCUCCACUCCGUGAACACACCAGGAAUCCCAGAACUGCUUGUCGAAAAGAAACCGACAGGAGAACCGAGGAUGCAUGUCGCCAGGCUCCUGACUCACUUCCUGACAGCACGCACCUCGCCGCCACCUGCUAACUCGCUUGUGUAACCCAGUUUGGCAUCUCUGAUUCCUUCUGGGCCUGCGAGGUUGUGCAUCAGACCCACGCGCUGUGCCGCCGGGAAGCAGGUGGACAGCCAGGCGCCGUCACGCAGAGCGCGUCUGGCCAGAUGGCCGGGGGUGAACAGCUUAGUCAGGACGCCUGGCCGCAGCACCUGGGCUGCAGCGACAUCGAGGAGGAAAGAGAAGGGAGUGACAGCACUGGGCCUGAAUGGGAUGUGACGCUGAAGUGUGGGCCGGGGCUGGGGUGUGGCUGGCCUGGCCGAAGGAUUAGCACAACUUCCUAAUAGCCCCUGGAGGUUCUGGGUAACAGCACAGGAAGGGCCUUGCCUGGGUGAUGCAUCAAGCUUUGAUUUUUUGGUGGAAGCCGGGAGAAAUGAGUAAAACGCCCAGACUUUGGGCAGGGGAGGGUGGACUGUCACACCCUCUGUGUCCCUGUGUUCACCUCCCACCCCAGGUCAGGCCAAGCCCACCACACAGAAGCGGUCCCUUGCUCCCACGUGCCUGACCAGGUGAGCGGAGACAGAAGGAAUCCUGGCUCUGUUUGGUCUGUCUGGCCUCACACGGAGCCACCUACCUCCAUAGGAAGAAGGGACCACCCCAGUCUCCCCUGAAAUCACAAGACCCAAGCACGUGUCCACCAGGCUAGGGGAAGUGUUUGGAAAAUAAAUGUCCCUUCUGCCAGAGACUGGAA
Non-coding RNA from Oryctolagus cuniculus (rabbit), 1349 nucleotides. NCBI's taxonomy places the organism in Eukaryota, Metazoa, Chordata, Mammalia, Lagomorpha, Leporidae. The record is from RefSeq and is a predicted model, not a curated record.